CAACUUUCAGCAACGGAUCUCUUGGCUCUCGCAUCGAUGAAGAACGCAG
Molecule: ribosomal RNA, 49 nt
Filed under: Hyphodermella rosae
Lineage: Eukaryota; Fungi; Basidiomycota; Agaricomycetes; Polyporales; Phanerochaetaceae
Description: partial 5.8S ribosomal RNA
Rfam family: 5.8S ribosomal RNA
About the family: 5.8S ribosomal RNA (5.8S rRNA) is a component of the large subunit of the eukaryotic ribosome.
Source: RNAcentral